This 480-nucleotide ribosomal RNA is filed under the name uncultured bacterium. RNAcentral describes it as "partial 16S ribosomal RNA". It matches the Rfam family "Bacterial small subunit ribosomal RNA", at positions 28 to 523 of the family's 1533-position model. The record is from RNAcentral.
GACGAACGCUGGCGGCGUGCUUAACACAUGCAAGUCGAGCGAUGAAAUACCUUCGGGUGCGGAUUAGCGGCGAACGGGUGAGGAACACGUGAGGAAUCUGCCUUCCACUCUGGGAUAACUCCGGGAAACCGGGGCUAAUACCGGAUACUUUCAACUGGCGGCAUCGCCGGUUGAAGAAAGUUUUUCGGUGGAAGAUGACCUCGCGGCCUAUCAGCUUGUUGGUGAGGUAAAGGCUCACCAAGGCGACGACGGGUAGCCGGCCUGAGAGGGCGACCGGGCACACUGGGACUGAGACACGGCCCAGACUCCUACGGGAGGCAGCAGUGGGGAAUAUUGGGCAAUGGAGGAAACUCUGACCCAGCGACGCCGCGUGAGGGAUGAAGGCCUUCGGGUUGUAAACCUCUUUCAGCAGGGAAUAAGCGAAAGUGAAGGUACCUGCAGAAGAAGCACCGGCUAACUAUGUGCCAGCCGCCGCGGUAA